CAUGUCUGUUCCUGCUGGACAAUAAAUUCAUAAAUGAGGAAACUAAGGCUCAGAAAGGGUAAGUGAUUUGCCCGAGGUCAGACAGUUAGUGUCUGAGGCAAGAUUUGAACUCAGGUCUUUCUAGCUCCCAUCUAGCACUACCUGUUCCACUGUACCUACUAUUUCUAUAAGUUUUUAAAAGCCUAGAAUCAAAUUUACACUUGAUAUAAUUAGCAAAGAACCAUCAUCUUCUAUACAAUAUGUUUUCAAGCUGUUUUCUCUAAUGCAGUGAGUUCUGAUUUGGAGAAUUCUUGGCAUAAAAUAGUUCUCCCUGCAGGCCAGAUUACCUACUCAUACCUAGCUCUUGCAACUGUGGAAAUUUUUUCUUGGAACUUUACUUGUAAGUAUUUUUCAUUUACUGUAAUAUACUAUUAGAGUUGAAAGGGAUCUUUGGAAGUCCAACUCCCUCAUUUUGACUGAGCUAGGUCUGGAACCCAGGUGGUCUCUUAUCUACUAGCCCCACACCACACCAUAACAUUUUCAUAGUCAAGUGGCUGCAGCAGAAUUCAUGUUUCACUUUUUUUUUUUAGCGGGGAUGGCACAUUCUCUCAUGCCUCAACAGUAAUCAAAGAACAAUGCAGCCUGAUUGUCUGCUCAUCACCAUGAAUGUGGAGCCAGCCAUCAGAAGGGAGAGCUUUCUAGUUGCCUUGGUCUGGAGAGGAGAGCUGUCCAAAUCUGUGUCCCAGAAGCCACCUUCUGAGAUACUACCUCAACAUGGCACACUGAAUAUACAUCAGCAUAAAGUCGGUCAGCCAGGCAAUAAACAUUUAUCAAACACCAUGAGCCAAGUAAGGUUUGUAGCAUUGCCGUUUGCUAUAAAUUUGUAUAUGUAUUGUGUGUGUGUGUGUGUGUGUGUGUGUGUGUAUAAUAUAUAUGUAUAUGCAUAUGUGUAUAAUGGUAGCAAUGGUACAGUGGGUAGAGUGUUGAACUUUUCUUGCCCUUUCAUUUUAUUAAGUGCUUUUGCUUUGGGCUAAUUGUGUCCUCUGGUUGAUUACUGAAUAUAAACAUAUUUAAUGUAUUUAAUAUCCCUGUCAGGGGCCUCAUGAAUUUUAGGAGUACCAACCCAAAGAAUACCUUGAAUCUGGGGUAACCAUCCUCUGAAGGACCUAUCCUAUGAGUUGGGGAAUGUGCUGGAGCACUUUACUGUGUCAGGAAGACAUGAGUUCAAAUUCUGCUUCUUACAUUUAGUAGCUAUGUGACCCUUGGCAAGGCACUUAAUCUCACUGAGCCUCAGUUUCCUCAUUUGUAAAAUCAGGAUAAUAGCACUUGUAGUAUUCACCUCACUUGGUUGUUAUGAGGACCCAAUGCAAAAGUGUGUAUAAAGCAUUUUGCUUGAACAAUGCCUAAUGAUCAUUUUUUUUGUUUUGUUUUGUUUUUGCAAGGCAAUUGGGGUUAAGUGACUUGCCCAGAGUCACACAGCUAGUACCUGUUAUGUGUCUAAGGCUGGAUUUGAACUCAGGUCCUCCUUACUCCAGGGCCUGUGCUCUAUCCACUGUGCCACCUAGCUGCCCCUUAAUGGUUGUUUUUUAAAUAAAAAGAUUCCUACCAAUAUGGAUAGGUUUCCA
This is a long non-coding RNA of Phascolarctos cinereus (koala), 1604 nucleotides long. The record is from Ensembl. NCBI's taxonomy places the organism in Eukaryota, Metazoa, Chordata, Mammalia, Diprotodontia, Phascolarctidae.